RNAcentral lists this ribosomal RNA (468 nucleotides) under uncultured bacterium. Its description in RNAcentral is "partial 16S ribosomal RNA". It matches the Rfam family "Bacterial small subunit ribosomal RNA", at positions 28 to 507 of the family's 1533-position model. The record is from RNAcentral.
GGCGAACGCUGGCGGCGUGCUUAACACAUGCAAGUCGAACGGAAAGGCCCUGCUUUUGUGGGGUGCUCGAGUGGCGAACGGGUGAGUAACACGUGAGUAACCUGCCCUUGACUUUGGGAUAACUUCAGGAAACUGGGGCUAAUACCGGAUAGGAGCUCCUGCUGCAUGGUGGGGGUUGGAAAGUUUCGGCGGUUGGGGAUGGACUCGCGGCUUAUCAGCUUGUUGGUGGGGUAGUGGCUUACCAAGGCUUUGACGGGUAGCCGGCCUGAGAGGGUGAUCGGCCACAUUGGGACUGAGAUACGGCCCAGACUCCUACGGGAGGCAGCAGUGGGGAAUAUUGCACAAUGGGCGGAAGCCUGAUGCAGCAACGCCGCGUGCGGGAUGACGGCCUUCGGGUUGUAAACCGCUUUCGCCUGUGACGAAGCGUGAGUGACGGUAAUGGGUAAAGAAGCACCGGCUAACUACGUG